AGAAUCAACGCUGGCGGCGUGCCUAACACAUGCAAGUCGAACGAGAAAGUGGAGCAAUCCAUGAGUAAAGUGGCGCACGGGUGAGUAACACGUGACUAACCUACCCUUGAGUGGGGGAUAACCUAGAGAAAUCUGGGCUAAUACCGCAUAAUACCUUCGGGUCAAAGGAGCAAUUCGCUUAAGGAGGGGGUCGCGGCCGAUUAGUUAGUUGGCGGGGUAAUGGCCCACCAAGACUAUGAUCGGUAUCCGGCCUGAGAGGGCGCACGGACACACUGGAACUGAAACACGGUCCAGACUCCUACGGGAGGCAGCAGUGGGGAAUUUUGCGCAAUGGGGGAAACCCUGACGCAGCAACGCCGCGUGGAGGAUGAAGUCCCUUGGGACGUAAACUCCUUUCGAUCGGGACGAUAAUGACGGUACCGAGAGAAGAAGCCCGGCUAACUUCGUGCCAGCAGCCGC
RNAcentral lists this ribosomal RNA (459 nucleotides) under uncultured bacterium. Its description in RNAcentral is "SSU rRNA". It matches the Rfam family "Bacterial small subunit ribosomal RNA", at positions 26 to 518 of the family's 1533-position model. The record is from RNAcentral.